AUGAAGAAAUGGAACAAUCUGAAGCUCAAGUACAAAUCGCUUAGGGACCCACCAACAGGCAGAGGGGUAGAGGCCGGUACAGCUACUGCCGCCACCUGGCAGUGGUAUGGUGCCAUGGAUGCUGCACUCCAGGGACAUCACUCCAUCUGUCCGCCCCUGGUUGUUGCAUCCAGAAUGACUGCCACUACAGGUGGGGUAGAAAGCACACCGGCUUCUACCUCUUCUGCUGAGGAGGCCGGGGGAAGCAGCAGCAGAAAGAGACCCAGGGACAGUCUGCUGGAGCUUUUGAGGGAGCAGGGAGAAAGGGACGAGGAGAGAGAGAGGCAGUGGCGAGAGAGGCGGAGUGGGAGAGGGCGGCAGCAGUCAGGGCUGAACGGUGUCAAAACUUUUAUGUGGCAUUCAUCAAUGGCCCCAGCAGCACAUCUGAAGGCCUCGUGACCUGCAAGUGCCGUGUCAUAGAAAAUGAGACAAGACCACAGGCAAAAUGUGCCAUGUGGUUUGACCAGAAGGCAGGAAGGGUGACUGCGUCAAACAUCCGAGCAGCCUGCCACACAGACCCAGACAAACCAUCUGUUUCCCUGCUGAAGAAACUGUGCUAUCCAGUGGCCUACAAGGACCCAAAAAAAAACACACAAAACACACAAAAAAAGUGGAAAUCAGGAUUUUCCAAUAGGGCAAAAGCAACCCCAAAAGAGCUGGUGAGGGAAAGCACGACAAGUGGCAGUAAAAUUUUUAAUACAGCCAUGGUCAUCUUUCACAACAUUGUAGGCUUAUAAAAAAACACAACUCAUUAUAUCUUCAUACAACUUGAAACGCAAGUGGUCUGCAUGUAGAUUUAAAAUGUAUUUUUUUUAUAAGCCCACAAUGUGAUAAACAUUUACUUACCUUAACAUUUACUUACCUUAUCACCUUGCUGGUAAAACACAAAUGAUCAAGAUAAAUAACGCAUAAUUUAGAAUGACAUUGUGUGCAUUUUUCUGUUUUUAGAUGGGGCACUGAAAACGAGGGAACGG
Molecule: long non-coding RNA, 1013 nt
Filed under: Gadus morhua (Atlantic cod)
Lineage: Eukaryota; Metazoa; Chordata; Actinopteri; Gadiformes; Gadidae
Description: lncRNA (ENSGMOG00000033287.1)
Source: RNAcentral